This 484-nucleotide ribosomal RNA is filed under the name uncultured bacterium. RNAcentral's name for it is "partial 16S ribosomal RNA". It matches the Rfam family "Bacterial small subunit ribosomal RNA", at positions 30 to 507 of the family's 1533-position model. The record is from RNAcentral.
AUUGAACGCUGGCGGCAGGCCUAACACAUGCAAGUCGAGCGGAUGAAGGGAGCUUGCUCCUGGAUUCAGCGGCGGACGGGUGAGUAAUGCCUAGGAAUCUGCCUGGUAGUGGGGGAUAACGUCCGGAAACGGGCGCUAAUACCGCAUACGUCCUGAGGGAGAAAGUGGGGGAUCUUCGGACCUCACGCUAUCAGAUGAGCCUAGGUCGGAUUAGCUAGUUGGUGGGGUAAAGGCCUACCAAGGCGACGAUCCGUAACUGGUCUGAGAGGAUGAUCAGUCACACUGGAACUGAGACACGGUCCCGACUCCUACGGGAGGAAGCAGUGGGGAAUAUUGGACAAUGGGCGAAAGCCUGAUCCAGCCAUGCCGCGUGUGUGAAGAAGGUCUUCGGAUUGUAAAGCACUUUAAGUUGGGAGGAAGGGCAGUAAGUUAAUACCUUGCUGUUUUGACGUUACCAACAGAAUAAGCACCGGCUAACUUCGUG